GUGCACCGGCGAGAAUCCUUCACACUGUGCGAAAGCACGAUGAGGGAAUCCCAAGUGCUUGCACGUAAGUGUAAGCUGUUUCUCUGUUUAAAACGCAGAGAGAGUAAGGGCUGGGUAAGACGGGUGCCAGCCGCCGCGGUAAUACCUGCAGCCCAAGUGGUGACCGUUAUUAUUGGGCCUAAAACGUCCGUAGCCGGUUUAAUAAAUGCCUGGGUAAAUCGUGUAGCUUAACUAUACGAAUUCCGGGUAGACUGUUAAACUCGAGACCGGGAGAAGUUAGAGGUACUCCUGGGGUAGAGGUGAAAUUCUGUAAUCCUAGGGGGACCACCAGUGGCGAAGGCGUCUAACUAGAACGGGUCUGACGGUGAGGGACGAAGCCCUGGGGCGCAAACGGGAUUAGAUACCCCCGUAGU
This 413-nucleotide ribosomal RNA is filed under the name uncultured microorganism. RNAcentral describes it as "bacterial SSU rRNA". It matches the Rfam family "Archaeal small subunit ribosomal RNA", at positions 330 to 745 of the family's 1478-position model. The record is from RNAcentral.